Molecule: ribosomal RNA, 468 nt
Filed under: uncultured bacterium
Lineage: Bacteria
Description: partial 16S ribosomal RNA
Rfam family: Bacterial small subunit ribosomal RNA
Source: RNAcentral
GACGAACGCUGGCGGCGUGCUUAACACAUGCAAGUCGAACGGACAGGCCCUGCUUUUGUGGGGUGCUCGAGUGGCGAACGGGUGAGUAUCACGUGAGUAACAUGCCCUUGACUUUGGGAUAACUUCAGGAAACUGGGGCUCAUACCGGGUAGAAGCUCCUGCUGCAUGGUGGGGGUUGGAAAGUUUCGGCGGUUGGGGAUGGACUAGCGGCUUAUCAGCUUCUUGGUGGGGUAGUGGCUUACCAAGGCUUUGACGGGUAGCCGGCCUGGGAGGGUGACCGGCCACAUUGGGACUGAGAUACGGCGCAGAAUCCUACGGGAGGCAGCAGUGGAGAAUAUUGCACAAUGGGCGGAAGCCUGAUGCAGCAACGCCGCGUGCGGGAUGACGGCCUUCGGGUUGUAAACCGCUGUCGCCUGUGACGAAGCGGGAGUGACGGUAAUGGGUAAAGAAGCACCGGCUAACUACGUG